GGACGGGUGGCUGAGGGGUUUAAGGCUCCGGUCUUGAAAACCGGCGUCCCUGCAAAGGGACCGUGAGUUCGAAUCUCACCCCGUCCG
RNAcentral lists this transfer RNA (87 nucleotides) under Patescibacteria group bacterium. RNAcentral describes it as "tRNA-Ser". It matches the Rfam family "tRNA". Rfam says of the family: Transfer RNA (tRNA) molecules are approximately 80 nucleotides in length. The record is from RNAcentral.